This 505-nucleotide ribosomal RNA is filed under the name Salmonella enterica subsp. enterica serovar Rubislaw. Its description in RNAcentral is "partial 23S ribosomal RNA". It matches the Rfam family "Bacterial large subunit ribosomal RNA", at positions 1273 to 1772 of the family's 2925-position model. Lineage: Bacteria; Pseudomonadati; Pseudomonadota; Gammaproteobacteria; Enterobacterales; Enterobacteriaceae. RNAcentral also lists the same sequence under 8 other names. The record is from RNAcentral.
CUGGAGGUAUCAGAAGUGCGAAUGCUGACAUAAGUAACGAUAAAGCGGGUGAAAAGCCCGCUCGCCGGAAGACCAAGGGUUCCUGUCCAACGUUAAUCGGGGCAGGGUGAGUCGACCCCUAAGGCGAGGCCGAAAGGCGUAGUCGAUGGGAAACGGGUUAAUAUUCCCGUACUUGGUGUUACUGCGAAGGGGGGACGGAGAAGGCUAUGUUGGCCGGGCGACGGUUGUCCCGGUUUAAGCGUGUAGGUGUGUGUUCCAGGUAAAUCCGGUUCACUUUAACACUGAGGCGUGACGACGAGGCACUACGGUGCUGAAGCAACAAAUGCCCUGCUUCCAGGAAAAGCCUCUAAGCAUCAGGUAACAUCAAAUCGUACCCCAAACCGACACAGGUGGUCAGGUAGAGAAUACCAAGGCGCUUGAGAGAACUCGGGUGAAGGAACUAGGCAAAAUGGUGCCGUAACUUCGGGAGAAGGCACGCUGACACGUAGGUGAAGUGAUUUACUCA